Molecule: long non-coding RNA, 1423 nt
Organism: Octopus bimaculoides (California two-spot octopus)
Lineage: Eukaryota; Metazoa; Mollusca; Cephalopoda; Octopoda; Octopodidae
Source: RefSeq, a predicted model, not a curated record
UUCUAUGUAUUGCCUCGUAUUUAUGUGUUAAUCUUGGCUCUCCUGCUGAUGAUAGCUGGCCUAGCAAAUUAUUUUAUUUUGCUGAAAAUAGCUUGAAACCUUGGUUCAGGAUAUAGACGCAUACCAAAGCAUAGACAGAAACAUGGAAAGUAAAGACCCCCCACCCCCAAGGUCGUUGAUGACCAUUGGAUUGCACCUAGAGAGUUCCCCUCCGAGGCACAGUCCGGGCAAGGUUGUUCUACGGAAGACCAGCAGUCACCCAUGCAUACCAGCCUCCCCUCUCCACGCCGCUGAUGUUAUCCAAGAGAAUGGCAAAGGCUGAUACAACUUUGCAUCAGUGACAACGUCGCAAAUCAUUCUUGCAGCUGAGUGAACUUGGACUACAUGAAAUAAAGUGCCUUGCUCAAGAACACAACACAUAACUCUGUCCGGGAAUCGGAAUGACUACCUCAUGAUUGUGAGCUCACCGCUCUAACCACUGAGCCAUACGCCAUCACAGAUAGAAAUAUAUAGAAACACAUCAAACCCCUAGAUGUAGGCAUAUGUCUAUUUAUGUAUUUAUGUAUGUAUGUAUGUAUGUAUGUAUGUAUGUAUCACAUCCCUUUGAAAAAGGGAUAUUGUUAGAAACGUCAUAAAUGACUUCUUUUUUAUUUUCUGUUUUAAACUAAUUAUGUUGGUCGUGAAUUCAUAUUGCUGUUGUCCGUAUUUUUUUCUUGUUUGGCCAUCUCCCACUCUCUCUCCCCACUCUCUCGCCCCACUCUCUGUCUUCUGUUCUUUUCCACUCUCUGUCUCUCCCCCUCUCUCUCUACUCCCUUCCUCUCUCCUCUAAUAUACAUGUGUGUGAGUAUGUAUGUGGACGCACACACAACUACAUGCUUAUGUAUAUAUUUGCGCAUUGAACUAUAUAUGUAUAUGCAUGAGUGUGUAUAUGUGUUUGCGUGUGUGUGUGAGAGAGAGAGGGGAGAAAGAGAGAGGGGAGAAAGAGAGAGAGAGACAGACAGACAGACAGAGAGAGAGAGAGAAAGAAAUAGCGAAAGGAAGAAAACGAAGGAGAGUUAUUUGCAAACGCUUAAAUAAUUUUUCUCCUCUGACGUCUAAUUCUACUUCUUGUCCAAAUUCAUGGACUGUUUUAGAAUAACUGUUUGCUUCAAAAACGAGAAGAUUCAAACAAGUCCAUGAAAAAAAAUAAUCUUCAAAUGUUUCACUCAUCUCAGAGAAAAUACCAAUAAUAGGAACUGCACACAGAGACGUGUAAUAUGUGAAGUAGUGCUGAUAAAUUAAACAGUAUCGAAGCUAAGUAAAGACUGCAUCUACCCAAGGUUAUAUUGCAAAAUUACGCAAUAUCUGGAAUAUUCAAAUAAUUAUGUUAAAAUAUUUAGCAGUAAAAAAAUCAAUCCAAUUCAUUAAAAUGGUAACUUCAGAA